UACGGGGGGGCAAGCGUUGUUCGGAAUUACUGGGCGUAAAGGGCUCGUAGGCGGCCAACUAAGUCAGACGUGAAAUCCCCAGGCUCAACCUGGGAACUGCGUCCGAAACUGGCAGGCUUGAAUCCGGGAGAGGGAUGUGGAAUUCCAGGUGUAGCGGUGAAAUGCGUAGAUAUCUGGAGGAACAUCGGUGGCGAAGGCGACAUCCUGGACCGGUAUUGACGCUGAGGCGCGAAAGCCAGGGGAGCAAACGGG
Molecule: ribosomal RNA, 252 nt
Filed under: uncultured bacterium
Lineage: Bacteria
Description: partial 16S ribosomal RNA
Rfam family: Bacterial small subunit ribosomal RNA
Source: RNAcentral